Molecule: ribosomal RNA, 453 nt
Filed under: Enterococcus faecalis TX0411
Lineage: Bacteria; Bacillati; Bacillota; Bacilli; Lactobacillales; Enterococcaceae
Description: bacterial SSU rRNA
Rfam family: Bacterial small subunit ribosomal RNA
Source: RNAcentral
GAGUAACACGUGGGUAACCUACCCAUCAGAGGGGGAUAACACUUGGAAACAGGUGCUAAUACCGCAUAACAGUUUAUGCCGCAUGGCAUAAGAGUGAAAGGCGCUUUCGGGUGUCGCUGAUGGAUGGACCCGCGGUGCAUUAGCUAGUUGGUGAGGUAACGGCUCACCAAGGCCACGAUGCAUAGCCGACCUGAGAGGGUGAUCGGCCACACUGGGACUGAGACACGGCCCAGACUCCUACGGGAGGCAGCAGUAGGGAAUCUUCGGCAAUGGACGAAAGUCUGACCGAGCAACGCCGCGUGAGUGAAGAAGGUUUUCGGAUCGUAAAACUCUGUUGUUAGAGAAGAACAAGGACGUUAGUAACUGAACGUCCCCUGACGGUAUCUAACCAGAAAGCCACGGCUAACUACGUGCCAGCAGCCGCGGUAAUACGUAGGUGGCAAGCGUUGUCCG